CCAGGAAAAUAGAGGAAAGUUAGAAGCAGGGAAGAAACUGAAACAAACAAACGACUCAAAAAUAUUAAGAGUAUUGUUAUUUUCCUUUUUUUUAGACUCUGAAAUUCUUGCCCGUGAAGGUUUGUCCAAACUGCCAAUUAGGUGGUGCCACGUUCCAAGAGGUUGAGGUGCGACGGUCACUGCCGGUAAUCCUAAAAGAGAGGGUCUGGCCCACCAAAACUGCAUUGGAUUGCCAAUUUUGCCCCCAGUUACGGCUCAUGCUCAGCCACGCGGUUUUGCUUCCUUUAACACUCACGCGCACGAUAUCCCCUGCACC
RNAcentral lists this long non-coding RNA (316 nucleotides) under Phaseolus vulgaris (common bean). RNAcentral's name for it is "long non-coding RNA (PVUL_LNC001528)". The record is from RNAcentral. Lineage: Eukaryota; Viridiplantae; Streptophyta; Magnoliopsida; Fabales; Fabaceae.